This 538-nucleotide ribosomal RNA is filed under the name Photobacterium damselae subsp. piscicida. RNAcentral's name for it is "bacterial SSU rRNA". It matches the Rfam family "Bacterial small subunit ribosomal RNA", at positions 1 to 522 of the family's 1533-position model. The record is from RNAcentral. Lineage: Bacteria; Pseudomonadati; Pseudomonadota; Gammaproteobacteria; Vibrionales; Vibrionaceae.
UGGAGAGUUUGAUCCUGGCUCAGAUUGAACGCUGGCGGCAGGCCUAACACAUGCAAGUCGAGCGGCAGCGACUUAACUGAACCUUCGGGGAACGUUAAGGGCGGCGAGCGGCGGACGGGUGAGUAAUGCCUGGGAAUAUGCCCUGAUGUGGGGGAUAACUAUUGGAAACGAUAGCUAAUACCGCAUAAUCUCUUCGGAGCAAAGAGGGGGACCUUCGGGCCUCUCGCGUCAGGAUUAGCCCAGGUGGGAUUAGCUUGUUGGUGAGGUAAUGGCUCACCAAGGCAACGAUCCCUAGCUGGUCUGAGAGGAUGAUCAGCCACACUGGAACUGAGACACGGUCCAGACUCCUACGGGAGGCAGCAGUGGGGAAUAUUGCACAAUGGGGGAAACCCUGAUGCAGCCAUGCCGCGUGUGUGAAGAAGGCCUUCGGGUUGUAAAGCACUUUCAGUAGGGAGGAAGGUAGUGUAGUUAACACCUGCACUAUUUGACGUUACCUACAGAAGAAGCACCGGCUAACUCCGUGCCAGCAGCCGCGGUA